GCUUAGAUGUAAACCCAGGCAGCAUAACAUCCCACUGCCCGCCAGAGUACUACAAGCAAUUAAGGCUUAAAACUCAAAAGACUUGACGGCACUUCACCGCCCUAGAGGAGCCUGUCCUAUAAUCGAUAACCCACGCUAAACCCCACCUGCCCUCGCCCCAGCCAGCCUAUAUACCGCCGUCUCAAGCCCGCCUUACAAAAGACCAAACCACAGCGAGCCAACCAGCCUAACGCUAACACGUCAGGUCAAGGUGUAGCCAAUGGGCAGGAAGAGAUGGGCUACAUUUUCUAAUUCAGAAAACAACCCACAGUUAUAUGAAAUUGCACUAUAAAGGAGGAUUUAGUAGUAAGCCGAUCAAGACCUGGUCGACUGAACAACGCCCUGAAGUGAGU
RNAcentral lists this ribosomal RNA (392 nucleotides) under Hemidactylus afarensis. RNAcentral's name for it is "Hemidactylus sp. JS-2019a partial small subunit ribosomal RNA". It matches the Rfam family "Bacterial small subunit ribosomal RNA", at positions 794 to 1384 of the family's 1533-position model. Lineage: Eukaryota; Metazoa; Chordata; Lepidosauria; Squamata; Gekkonidae. The record is from RNAcentral.